RNAcentral lists this ribosomal RNA (575 nucleotides) under uncultured bacterium. RNAcentral's name for it is "bacterial SSU rRNA". It matches the Rfam family "Bacterial small subunit ribosomal RNA", at positions 102 to 694 of the family's 1533-position model. The record is from RNAcentral.
AAGGGGCAGUAAUGCAUGGAUAACCUACCUUGGGGUUGGGCAUAGCCGUUCUAACGAGCGGGUAAUACCCAGAGAUUCAGCGGGGCGGCAUCGUUCUGCUGGGAAAGAAUUUCGCCUCGAGAGGGGUCCAUGUGCUAUUAGCUAGUUGGUGAGGUAACGGCUCACCAAGGCUAAGAUGGCUAGCGGGUGUGAGAGCACGACCCGCGCCACUGGCACUGAGACACUGGCCAGACACCUACGGGUGGCUGCAGUCGAGGAUCUUCGUCAAUGGGCGCAAGCCUGAACGAGCGACACCGCGUGCGCGAUGAAGGCCUUCGGGUUGUAAAGCGCGAAAGUGGAGAGAAAGGGCAACUUGAUCAAUCCACAGUAAGGACGGGCUAAGUUCGUGCCAGCAGCCGCGGUAAGACGAACUGUCCUAACGUUGUUCGGAAUCACUGGGCUUAAAGGGCGCGUAGGCGGUCCGACAAGUCGGGGGUGAAAUCCUGCAGCUUAACUGCAGAAGUGCCUUCGAUACUGUCGGUCUUGAGGGAGAUAGGGGUGUGCGGAACUUCCAGUGGAGCGGUGAAAUGCGUUGA